ACGGGAGGCAGCAGUGGGGGAUAUUGCACAAUGGGGGAAACCCUGAUGCAGCGACGCCGCGUGAGUGAAGGAGUAUUUCGGUAUGUAAAGCUCUAUCAGCAGGAAAGAUAAUGACGGUACCUGACUAAGAAGCACCGGCUAAAUACGUGCCAGCAGCCGCGGUAAUACGUAUGGUGCAAGCGUUAUCCGGAUUUACUGGGUGUAAAGGGAGCGUAGACGGCAUGGCAAGCCAGAUGUGAAAGGCAGGGGCUCAACUCCUGGACUGCAUUUGGAACUGGCGGACUGGAGUCGCUGAGGGGGAACCGGAAUUCCUGGUGUAGGGGUGAAAUCUGUAGAUAUCAGGAAGAACACCGAUGGCGAAGGCAGGUUUCCAGCAGACGACUGACGCUGAGGUGCGAAGGUGCGGGGAGCAAACAGGAUUAGAUACCCUGGUA
This 434-nucleotide ribosomal RNA is filed under the name uncultured Lachnospiraceae bacterium. RNAcentral describes it as "partial 16S ribosomal RNA". It matches the Rfam family "Bacterial small subunit ribosomal RNA", at positions 341 to 792 of the family's 1533-position model. Lineage: Bacteria; Bacillati; Bacillota; Clostridia; Lachnospirales; Lachnospiraceae. The record is from RNAcentral.